AUUGAACGCUGGCGGCAGGCCUAACACAUGCAAGUCGAGCGGAUGAAGGGAGCUUGCUCCUGGAUUCAGCGGCGGACGGGUGAGUAAUGCCUAGGUAUCUGCCUGGUAGUGGGGGAUAACGUCCGGAAACGGGCGCUAAUACCGCAUACGUCCUGAGGGAGAAAGUGGGGGAUCUUCGGACCUCACGCUCUCAGAUGAGCCUAGGUCGGAUUAGCUAGUUGGUGGGGUAAAGGCCUACCAAGGCGACGAUCCGUAACUGGUCUGAGAGGAUGAUCAGUCACACUGGAACUGAGACACGGUCCAGACUCCUACGGGAGGCAGCAGUGGGGAAUAUUGGACAAUGGGCGAAAGCCUGAUCCAGCCAUGCCGCGUGUGUGAAGAAGGUCUUCGGAUUGUAAAGUACUUUAAGUUGGGAGGAAGGGCAGUAAGUUAAUACCUUGCUGUUUUGACGUUACCAACAGAAUAAGCACCGGCUAACUUCGUG
This 484-nucleotide ribosomal RNA is filed under the name uncultured bacterium. RNAcentral describes it as "partial 16S ribosomal RNA". It matches the Rfam family "Bacterial small subunit ribosomal RNA", at positions 30 to 507 of the family's 1533-position model. The record is from RNAcentral.